This 337-nucleotide long non-coding RNA is filed under the name Coturnix japonica (Japanese quail). Its description in RNAcentral is "lncRNA (ENSCJPG00005000529.1)". The record is from RNAcentral. Lineage: Eukaryota; Metazoa; Chordata; Aves; Galliformes; Phasianidae.
GUGUUUAUAAAACUGUGUCCAGGAUAGAACAGCUUCAGUAGCGGAAAGUGAAAUGUUCCCACCUCAAAAUACUACGAGCACCCCUUACUGGGACAGCCAUUUUUCGUUCUACACCCCUGCCGGACUAAUGAGUUCAUGUGUUCUAUACUGGCCGGUUCACAAAAAGACAACAGGUGAGAAACACGACUGUGCUUUGCAAGGUGUAUGUGCUGUAGAUAAAGUAAGUCAGCUGGGAAGUGGGCAUGGGCAGAACAGCUUCCUUGGUCCAAAUGGAAGGGGAUUCUGUAUUGUCACUUCACUGCUGAAAAUGAUAACAUGCUUGAUACUGCUCAAGUGA